UCCUAAUUAACCACAAGGAUACAGGGGAUUAGAUGGGGAUUAGUAGAGACUCUCUUGUCUUUCUCUCUUUCAUUGUCUUCUCUGUGAUGCAAUGUCCAACACUGGCUCUCAAACAGUCUUAUGUGGUGUACCUAGGCAGUCAUUCACAUGGGGUUGAACCUACUUCUUCAUUGCACUUCAGCAAAAUAACCGAUUCCUAUUAUGAUCUCUUGGGUUCUUGCAUGGGCAGCAAGAAGAAGGCACAAGAAGCAAUUUUUUACUCUUACACAAGUUACAUAAAUGGUUUUGCUGCUGUCCUGGAAGAUGAAGAGGCAGCUGAGCUUUCAAAGCAGUCAGGAGUUUUAUCUGUUUUCUUAAACCAGAAAAAUGAACUGCACACGACUAGGUCCUGGGAGUUCCUUGGACUAGAGAGAAAUGGAGAGAUUCCUGCAAAUUCUAUCUGGGUGAAGGCGAGAUUUGGCGAAGACAUCAUUAUUGGGAACCUUGACACUGGUGUUUGGCCAGAAUCGGACAGCUUCAAUGACAAAGGAAUGGAGCCAAUUCCAUCCAAGUGGAAAGGUUACUUACUGUGAGCCUAGUGAUGGUGUUAAGUGCAACAGGAAGCUGAUCGGAGCAAGGUACUUCAACAAAGGGUAUGAAGCAGCCUUGGGGAGGCCGCUCGAUUCCUCCUACCAAACUGCAAGAGAUACAAAUGGGCAUGGCACGCAUACACUGUCCACAGCUGGUGGUGGAUUUGUUGGUGGAGCAAACCUCUUGGGUUCAGGCUAUGGAACUGCAAGGGGCGGAUCUCCUAGUGCUCGAGUUGCCUCGUACAAGGUUUGCUGGCCAAGUUGCUAUGAUGCUGAUAUAUUGGCUGCCUUUGAUGCUGCCAUACAUGAUGGGGUUGACGUCCUCUCUGUUUCACUUGGAGGUCCUCCUCGUGAUUAUUUCUUGGACAGCAUCGCAAUUGGAUCUUUUCAAGCUGUCAAGAAGGGAAUUGUUGUUGUCUGCUCAGCUGGGAAUUCUGGCCCCACGCCUGGGAGUGUUGAAAAUUUGGCACCAUGGAUUAUAACUGUUGCAGCUAGUACAAUUGAUAGGGAUUUUCCCUCUUAUGUCAUGUUGGGCAAUAACGAGCAAUUCAAGGGCCUGAGCUUCUAUACCAAUAGUUUACCGGCUGCGAAGUUUUAUCCCCUGGUAUAUUCUGUAGAUGCUAGAGCUCCUAAUGCUUCUGCAAGAGACGCACAACUUUGCUUUGUUGGAUCCCUGGACCCCGAGAAGGUGAAAGGGAAGAUAGUAUACUGCCUGAUUGGCCUCAAUGAAAUCGUUCAGAAGAGCUGGGUGGUUGCUCAGGCAGGUGGCAUCGGGAUGAUUCUUGCUAACCGUCUGUCCACUAGUACAUUGAUUCCUCAGGCCCACUUUGUUCCCACUUCAUAUGUCUCUGCAGCUGAUGGUCUUGCCAUUUUGUUAUACAUCCACAUUACAAAGUACCCAGUGGCUUACAUCAGAGGAGCAACUGAAGUAGGUACAGUAGCAGCACCAAUCAUGGCUUCCUUUUCGUCUCAGGGUCUUAAUACGAUCACUCCAGGAAUUCUCAAGCCUGACAUCACCGCACCCGGAGUGAACAUUUUAGCUGCAUACAUAGAAGCAAAGGGGCCUACGUUUCUUCAAUCAGAUGAUCGUCGUGUUCUCUUCAACAUCGUAUCUGGUACUUCAAUGUCAUGCCCUCAUGUUUCUGGGACUGUAGGCCUUCUCAAAAAGAUUCACCCUCAUUGGAGUCCAUCAGCCAUAAGAUCUGCAAUCAUGACCACCGAGAGAACCAGAAAUAAUGUGAGACAACCUAUGGCAAAUGGUACACUUGAGGAGGCAAACCCUUUCAACUAUGGUGCAGGACAUCUCUGGCCUAACCGUGCAAUGGACCCAGGCUUGGUCUAUGACUUGACCACCAUUGACUACUUGAACUUUCUGUGCACUAUUGGCUAUAAUGCAACCCUACUGUCAAGGUUUGUGGACGAGCCAUAUGAAUGCCCACCAAAUCCUAUGAGCGUUCUGGAUUUAAACUACCCCUCAAUUACUGUCCCCAGUUUCUCAGGCAAGGUAACAGUGACUAGGACCCUGAAGAAUGUUGGAUCUCCAGCUACAUACACGGUUCGAACUGAGGUGCCUAGUGGACUAUUGGUGAAGGUGGAACCUGAGAGACUGAAAUUCGAAAAGAUUAAUGAAGAGAAAACAUUCAAGGUGACACUGGAGGCCAAGAGAGAUGGUGAGGGAAGUGGGUAUAUUUUUGGAAGGCUCAUAUGGUCAGAUGGAGAACACUACGUCAGAAGCCCUAUAGUGGUCAAUGCAACCACUCUUCAUAUGUAAUCAUGCUUUUGAUUGAUCUUUAUGUAAUACAUAUGGGUAAUUAUAACAAAUAAAUCUAUAUAUACCAUGUGGAAUCAACAAUAAUAGAAGACAGACCUUCGACUUACCUUA
RNA transcript from Vitis vinifera (wine grape), 2451 nucleotides. It is a transcript of the gene named subtilisin-like protease SBT5.4, with no coding region annotated. The record is from RefSeq and is a predicted model, not a curated record. The transcript has 11 exons. Lineage: Eukaryota; Viridiplantae; Streptophyta; Magnoliopsida; Vitales; Vitaceae.